GUGAAUCAUCAAAUCUUUGAACGCAAAUUGCACUCUCCACGGAGAGUAUGCCUGUUUGAGGGUCAGCCUAUAUAAAAUCUACAUCGUUGUUGUUUUGUGGUGGCGUUCGUUGGAAAUUGGGUCAUCUUCAGUAUAUUGGGUUUAAGCGACUUAAAAUUUUCUUUUUGGUUCCAUGAACGUUUCUAAGAUUUAUUUCUUUACACGUCAAUGGUAUCGAUUUUUAUUAGACGUGACCUUCAUAUCGGAUCGCGCCCAUAAUCUUUCAUUACCUGAC
Molecule: unclassified non-coding RNA, 274 nt
Filed under: Glomus sp.
Lineage: Eukaryota; Fungi; Glomeromycota; Glomeromycetes; Glomerales; Glomeraceae
Description: partial contains 5.8S ribosomal RNA and internal transcribed spacer 2
Rfam family: 5.8S ribosomal RNA (bases 1-65)
Source: RNAcentral